Molecule: long non-coding RNA, 1092 nt
Organism: Daphnia magna
Lineage: Eukaryota; Metazoa; Arthropoda; Branchiopoda; Diplostraca; Daphniidae
Exons: 3
Source: RefSeq, a predicted model, not a curated record
GUGCCCCCCAGUCCAAUCGUGUUCCAGUUAAGCCAACAAGGAACGCGACAUUUAUCUCGAUAAGAUUACGUAGUGUCCAUUUCUCUUUGUCAAUAAUUCCACGAAUCAUUUUAUUGGUCACAUCUCGUACACAAUUUGUUGGACACUAGUUUUCUGUGGCGAGCGACUGGAAACGGGUAAUAAGUAAUCAAUAUUUGAACAGCAGCCAAGCAGAUCGUUCAACGCCAUCGUCAUGGACAGGAUAGUCACGGAUGGGUGGGAUCGAUGGCACAAUUCGACAGAAGGGUCGAUACAUACAAAUUGAAGUGCAACGAGACCAGUGGAAUUGAGUGGACUGGACUGGAAGGGCGGCCAAUUCCGAAUGGAACUGAACUCGAAAUCGGUAUUAGACUUGUCGUGCUAGACGAAUAACGAGACUCUACUUCGCGGUUGAGAGGAGAGCAUUAAACGCGAUACCGCUGCCAAGUGGACCCACCACCAAGUCUGGUACACAUUGUGUGGCACGUAAUACUACUAGGGCUUCAAAAAAGUGGCUGACCAAACAAAGAUUGUGGGAUAAUUCUUGUCUAGAAUUUACAUUGUGUCCCCUCACAAUUUUCAAAAGUGACACACACUUUGCAUGUUACUACUGCAUACAUAGCAACAUUCGUCUGAUAAAGAAUAAUUCCCCUGACUGUGCCAUAACAACCAAGUCAGUGCAACAACGGGAUCAUUUCAUAUCUAGAUUGUCCCCCCCGGCCAAGUGUGUGUUUGCCUGAUAAUGAACAACAACUCAACUUACAUGGAGGAGCCAUAUAGAUAAGCUAUAGAUGCUCUACCAUUGCGGAUCGGUAAAACUCAGCACGCGGUAACACUACUCGGAAAACAAACUUGGUUAUGUGCGUGGAAUAUCUCUAUCGACUAACCAGUACGCUGCCUCAUUCUUCAUUCCAUCUGCGUUUCAUUUGUUGGGUUUUUAUGAGAAAACGUCACAAGAAAACAAAAAAAGAAAAUAUAAUAAACAACAUUCUAAACGAACCUGGAAAUAAAUUGAGGUGCUGAUUUUGAAACUGACUUUCAACAAAACAAUAAAAGCAGUUAUUUUAAGACCAA